AGAAAUAUCUACAUAGAACUCUCUCUCUCCGUGAAAAAAAAGAACUCUCCUCUUCUCCAGUACGAUCCCCGCCAGGCUCCUCAUACACAUCCGCCAUUUCUUCCGAUUUGCCGCCGGCGAAGGACGACGUCUCUGUGCCCCAUCAGGAAACUAAUCCUCACGCUAUCCCAGAUCCACAUGUCGCUUCUUUUCUCCUGAUUUUUCUUCCUUGGUGGUGGCACAUGUGGCUGGGUGAGUGCGUGGAUCUCGGUGAACUCGUCGACUCUGGCAACGCGGUCACGGAGAUGUCCAGUGCGGACGCGGGUUGCGCUGCUCAAACUUGUCGUGCCCGGAGGCUCUGGAUGUUGGGGUCGCGGAGGCAUUGAGGGAGCUCGCAGAGGAAGAAAUAUCUGCAAGACAUGAGUAUCUUCUGUGAAUGGCUGUUAGCUGUUGCCCUCCUGCUGCCCGGACUUCUACCAAAUCACAAAGGGCCACUUUGAGUCGCUUGGUGACAUAAUGAUUAUAGGAGCAUCACCUCCAAACCUACCUUUAGUUUUAGCUCAUGGAUUGGAAUUCCUGGGAAGAUCAUGUUGCUAAGGAACUCUGUUGCACACAUAUUCUCCAUUAGUGUUGUAAUUCAUUGUUGCCUUGCACACAGUGUCCAAGUAUAGGAUUGCUCUUUCUUCGAGAAAUUCACGGUUACGAUAGUUUUGCUGCAAGUUUGGAUUGUAAUAUCCAUUCUGCAAAUUCGGCCACAUUUUGCUUUUCUAUUGGAUCUUCUAACAGACUUUAGCCGCAUGUUUUCAGUUAGUCUAAAUAUUUCGAAGUACUUCCAUAGGAGCCUCGUCCCAUAGUAUCAGUGAGGUCUUCUUUACCAGUUCAGCCAAAUGAGCAAAGCUGCAACGCCAGAUGAUGCUAACACAAGCACUUUCUUUCCCUCUGACCGUAGCUUCCUUGUAAUUGCUUUCCAUAGAUAAGUUUUGCCUGUGCCACCGUAGCCUUCUACAAAUAUCUGUUUUCCAAGUCCUUUCGCAGCUGAUUCCAUUAUUGCAUCAAAGGUCAUUUUCUGGCCAUGGUUAACAUUGCUUAUUAUGGUUUGGUGCUCAUUCUUUAGUGCCUCCAUGUCAUAGCUAAGUUUUUCGUUUAUCAUUCUGUUCCCAAGUUCUUCAAGUUCUGUAGCAUUUGGUAGUUCUGUGUCUGGAUAGUCCUUUUGUGUCUUUCCUGCUUGCCUCAUUAGUUUCUCUAUCUCAAUCAGAGCAUAUGCCUUUUUCUAUGAAUCAGUGAGCUGCAGCAUAGAAAAGUUAAGGAUAAUUCUUCUUUUGUACUGGAUAUCUUUAGACAGUGCCUCCCAUGUUGAUUCCCUCAACAUCUUUGGGUUGGUCACCUCACAAUGGCAUAAAAUUGUGGUGAAUAAUUUUCGUAAUUGUGUCCCUGAGCCCCAGCAUUAUGCUUCAUUGAUGCAUUCAAUCCACUCACUGUCGUCAUCAUGAAAUCCAAGCGCUUGGCAUUCUUAUUUGUAUGUUGGGUGAAUAGCUCCAUUAACUGUUCCAAUAUCCUGAAUUAUGUGCAUCCUUUCUCGGUGUUUAGAAGCAUUCUCAUAUAAUACCGGCUGCCACUUGCAGAGUGUGCAUAGUAGAUUCUUCCAAUAGCGAAGCCCCUUCUCGGCUCCCCAAGUUUUCGUUUCGCUUUUCCAUACAAAUUUUGAUGGGAAUUCUGCAUAGGUUAAUUCUUUUCCUGCCUCAUGUAUUUUGUUUGCCUCCAUCCACUCAGUGAACUUAGUACUCGUGGAUCCUGGCCUUCUUACUAUCUUAUCAAUGUCAGUCGAGUCCAGAAAAAUAACUUCUUGAUCAUUUUCAAUGUGGAAUGGUAGUCUCUCGACUGGUGGAUCACGAUGGUGUAGAUCAAACUGGAAUAUCCGCCAGUAUGCUUCAGUUGUUGAUAUGUAUCUCAUCUCUAGGUACUUGAUUGACCUGGGCCUGUUGCACCACUCGACAUUUAUGUGAUCUUGGAAUUGACCAAAAGGUUUCGGUUGUAUGGCCAAAAGUGCUUUGGCGUCACUUCUUCCGAGGUCGAUUGGAGUAGCUGGGCAUGGCUUCGUCAUGCGUUGAGUGUGCUUUGGCGUGACUUCGUCGGACGUAGAGUGAAACGGCUGGAGGUGGCUUUGCGUAUCAAAUGUCAAGUGGCCCAGUUGCGUGUGAUGUCUUCAAGCCAUCUGAGUUGCCGAAUCGCAUGUGAUGUCUUCAAGCCAUCUUGGUUGCCGACUUCUAAAUUUUUGGUGUGUGCUUCUGCGGCCGGCUGUACUUGUUUAUAUAUGGAUGGAGGUGCAUGGGUUGAGGUGGCCGAGACCGUGAAAGCAGAUCGGAAACCUGUCUUUUUUUUCAUGUCUUGGUUCCUGUUUUGGAACUUCCUCACGUGAGGUCUGGUUAGGUCCAAUCGUUGUCCUUAUUUGUUUAGGUUUCCUACUAUUUUUGCUUCCUUGACCCAUUGAUUAAUUUUUUUUUCUUUCUACGGGCUAGUUGACGAUUCGGAUGGAACCUAUGUGCACUAUUUGUACGUGGCAUGUUAUACUACUUGAACACGUACAUAUUUUUA
Long non-coding RNA from Triticum aestivum (bread wheat), 2571 nucleotides. RefSeq lists it as uncharacterized. The record is from RefSeq and is a predicted model, not a curated record. Lineage: Eukaryota; Viridiplantae; Streptophyta; Magnoliopsida; Poales; Poaceae. The transcript has 9 exons.